GGUUGGGGCAGGGAUAGGCGUGUCUGAGCUCAGCCUCUCCUUGGAUGGGGCUUGCUGCAGCUGCUGUGGGGGAUGGGGGUGGGGCUCCUAGUCCAUUGGAGUUAUAUUCCCAGGGAGAUUAUGGCUCCCUCUGCUGAGUCUGCUGAGUUGCCAGGGAAGUGGGGGAAAGCCAGCAGUCACCGGUUUCACCCCGCUCCCACACAGCCUGCAGUCCUAAAGGCCCGUCUCACUCCCACCGUGAGCAGCUUGGAGUCAGUUUCCAGGAAGCCAGUGACCCGGGCUGAGAAUUUGCCUCAGACCACAAGCCUCCCCAUUGAGAAAGCAAGCAGACUCAGUUUUUUGGCGUCUUAGGGACCCCGCAGCAAGUUCCUUCAAAGGGCUGCUCCGUCUAUCCAAGUGGGAGCUGCAAGCAAGUCCUGCCUCCUCUCCGCCAUCUUAACCCCUCAACCAGUAAAUGUUUAAAGACACAAAUCUCAAGCCCUCUCAGUCUCCACUCUUCAAAAGUCCGUCCUUUCCUGACUUUACGUGGCAGAAAGACAAUCUGCCUUGCAGCAAGUUUAUGGAUAACACGGAGUUCCCCUGCAAUGAAUAUGUGAACCCUCUGUUCUUCAGGAUAGCACUUGGGAUGAUGUGGAGGUAAACUCGACUGAGCAAUCCCUUUCUUCUGUCCUGCUGAUUGGAAUGUGGACAAUGGCCAGAGCUGCAUUUGGAUCAAGAGAAUGAGGGAGACUCCAUAAGCCAUAGUAGAGCGAAAGACCAGAGAGGGCCUGAGUCCCUGGGAAGUUUGGGAAACAAAGCCACCAUCCUAUCCCUGGAUUGUCUUCCUUGGGAAUUUUACAUGGUAUUCUGAGAAUAAAUUGUGGGAAGAUGGGGAUUUGAUCUAGUCUGGGAAUCAGGAAACUAUUUCCCAGAAGUGGUGAGACUUGAGCAUGUAUUUGAAGGUGAGGUAGAUGAAGUACUGAGGAUGAAGUGUACCAGGGGGAGGAACAGUAAGGGAGGAUUUCAAUCUAUAGGAAGAAGAUUACUGUGAGAAAAUAAUGCAUGUGAAAAUAAUUUGCAAAGUAACAUUGCUCUAACUGUUAAGAUACUCCUGUUAUAAAGUCUGUGCUUCUC
This 1113-nucleotide long non-coding RNA is filed under the name Homo sapiens (human). Its description in RNAcentral is "HSALNT0147697". The record is from RNAcentral. Lineage: Eukaryota; Metazoa; Chordata; Mammalia; Primates; Hominidae.